Non-coding RNA from Lactuca sativa (garden lettuce), 1002 nucleotides. Lineage: Eukaryota; Viridiplantae; Streptophyta; Magnoliopsida; Asterales; Asteraceae. The record is from RefSeq and is a predicted model, not a curated record.
AGUUUACACUUUUGUUUUGGGUGAAAAAGAGUAUUAUCAAAAGCAAUUUGCAACAUUGAAGUCUUUUGAGGAAACUCUAAAAUUGAAGUGAACUCUGUUUGUAUCGACGAUGUCCAGAUGACAUCGAUUAACGAGUGGUAAUCAUCGAAUUGCAAUGUGUUGUUGAAGUUCGACGAGCCUUCCGAGAGCACUUGCGAAAUCUCCAAAUUGGUCUUCUUUGUCGCCCUUCUUCUCAGGUACAUGGAGUUAGUUAAAAACUAUGGUUUGGAGAUUUCUCAGAUUGGAAUUGAACCUAAUAAUGGAUUAACAUGGAAAAUGACAACAAGAAAAGUGGCUAGCUGGAGGGUAAAAGAGACCGAAAGGAUGAUUUCCAUUUGCACAGAACUAAGAAAGGUACAAGUUAAUAAAAUAAAAAGGAUUUAUGUACCAUUUAUUUGUUUAAUGCUGAAAAGAUUGUUUUGUCCAUGGAACUUUUUAGUUGGGAGCAACAGAGGAAGAAGGACCUGAUUAUUGUAUAAUCACUCCACCAGAGAUAUUAAAUGUGACAGCGAUUGAUACAUAUGAUGAUCAUAGAAUGGCCAUGGCUUUGUCACUUGUAUCAUGUGCUCCUCAGUCAUGAUCAUUGAAGGAAAUCCAGUAUCAAUAGAUGCUGAGAGAAGUCAACCUAGUUUUGGUACUAGUUGUACAAGCAACAACACAACUUGCUCAUCAGUCAUGGAGCGUGACAAUGGCCCAAAGAAGGUUUAGUUUGCUUUUCUUACAAGAUUCUGAUGCUUAAGGUAAAAAAGAAAAUAUGAGUGAGGUGUUUGUAAUGUGAUGUACCACACAAAAGCAUAGUUACUGCAUAAUCUAGUUUUCAUCACCAAAUUAUCUUAAUUCUAUCAUCAAUAGACCACAACAAAAUGUAGUUUUCGUCUCUAGUUUUGAUCAAUAAACUAUCAUACAAUGUAUGCUUAUUUUCUACAUAAAGUCAUAUGACAUUUAACCAUUUGGUUGACAAAA